Molecule: long non-coding RNA, 439 nt
Organism: Spodoptera frugiperda (fall armyworm)
Lineage: Eukaryota; Metazoa; Arthropoda; Insecta; Lepidoptera; Noctuidae
Exons: 2
Source: RefSeq, a predicted model, not a curated record
AUAGGGCAACUGACCCGGUUGUGGCCAUCGACCCCUUUGUGGCCAUUUGGGCCUUCAAAUAUUUAUAACUAAGGCAUGGACAAAUAAAUUACUCUGUGAUGUACAGUAUUUAAAAUAUUGAAUAUUGGAGAUACUGAUACCGUUGGCAGCUUUGAUGUGUCAAACUUCACUUCGAUGCAACAAGUAAUUUUUUAUAGUUGAGGGUGAAAUUGUUAAGAUCUUAACAAAAAGGCUAAGGCGAGCGGAGAUGCAAUAAAUUGCCUUCACACAAAGGGGAGGUCAGAUUACUUUGCAGCUUUUACCAACGUCAUAUAAAUGUUGAUCUCUUUAUUUGUAAGUCAAAUUAAAGUGAAGUAAUAAUAUUUCAUAUUUUCCAAACUAAAUAAAAAUCAUUGUUUGUAAAAUGUCCAAUUUAAUUAAUAAAUCUUAAUUACUUUUA